This is a long non-coding RNA of Drosophila santomea, 640 nucleotides long. RefSeq lists it as uncharacterized. The record is from RefSeq and is a predicted model, not a curated record. The transcript is spliced from 3 exons. NCBI's taxonomy places the organism in Eukaryota, Metazoa, Arthropoda, Insecta, Diptera, Drosophilidae.
UGGGGACAUCCGACAUUCAGUCGAUACUUCAAAUUGAUUGCCAAAUAAAUUAAAAGUGUAAGCGGAACAACAGCAACAACCACGAACGGCUGGAGAAAAUGUAUGGCUGAUUAUUAUUAUUAUUUUUUUGGCAAAUAUUUGCCCAAUCGCAGCUGAUAACGGCAAACAAUCGAUGGUGUGCCCUGAUUCGCAGGGAAAUUCCCUUUGAUAAAAUAAUUGGCAUAGUUUCGAUGGGCUCCCCCCCUUUUUUUUUUUGCCGGAAAAUGGGCUUGGCCAAGUUUGUUGCUCUCUGGCAUAAUGAUAAUGAUAUAACUUGAUACAACAUUUGAUAGUAUUAUCGAAUAUUUGCACACGCGUCAAUACUCGCCAUGAAGGGCACUUCAUGCCAAUAUUUGAGUUCCCGCUUGCGGUGUAAAUAUCUAAAUAUCUGCCGGAUUGAAUGGACUUGAAAGCGUCUGAUGAACUGGCCAGACAGUCAAGGAUUCCAGGUGACUGCGUAGUGAUUGAGUCAUCGGGCAAACCAGUCAUCAGCACCAUAAUGUUUAAAGCCUGUUUCUACUUACCAUCAGGAGGUAUGUUGGUUUAAGAGUGUCGUCAUUGCUUUGGAAAUAGCCUUAAAACAUCAGUUCUCCAGAGGUAA